CUUUUAUGAAUUUAUUUCAAUCUUAAUCAUCAAUUUCUUUGUCUGUUGAAACCUUAGAUUUUUUCUCUGUACUGUUUUGUUUUUCUAAAGGGACGUAACACCACUACUAAUCUAGUUUGAAAUAAGCCCCGCCUCCCUACUACCUUAUAUGGAAUAUAAAGGGAAGUAACUCCACAACUAACCGUGUAUUGAAUAAGCCCCGCCCCUACUAACCUAAUAUUAAAUAUACACGGUUUCCACGAGGACGGUUUUAACAAAUCACAUUCAUAGAAAUGUAUAUGAGGUAAGAUAAAUUAUUAUAAUAAUCGGUUGACGAUGGAAAGCCUCUAAUCAACAAAUUCAUGCAAAUAUAUUCUUGAAAAAUAUGCUUAAGAAAGUAAAGUCUCUAAAGAGC
This 394-nucleotide long non-coding RNA is filed under the name Mytilus galloprovincialis (Mediterranean mussel). Lineage: Eukaryota; Metazoa; Mollusca; Bivalvia; Mytilida; Mytilidae. The record is from RNAcentral.